GACGAACGCUGGCGGCGUGCCUAAUACAUGCAAGUUGAGCGAUGAAGCUUGGUGCUUGCCCCAAUUUGAAGAGCAGCGAACGGGUGAGUAACGCGUGGGGAAUCUGCCUUUGAGCGGGGGACAACAUUUGGAAACGAAUGCUAAUACCGCAUAACAACUUUAAACAUAAGUUUUAAGUUUGAAAGAUGCAAUUGCAUCGCUCAAAGAUGAUCCCGCGUUGUAUUAGCUAGUUGGUGAGGUAAAGGCUCACCAAGGCGAUGAUACAUAGCCGACCUGAGAGGGUGAUCGGCCACAUUGGGACUGAGACACGGCCCAAACUCCUACGGGAGGCAGCAGUAGGGAAUCUUCGGCAAUGGACGAAAGUCUGACCGAGCAACGCCGCGUGAGUGAAGAAGGUUUUCGGAUCGUAAAACUCUGUUGGUAGAGAAGAACGUUGGUGAGAGUGGAAAGCUCAUCAAGUGACGGUAACUACCCAGAAAGGGACGGCUAACUACGUG
RNAcentral lists this ribosomal RNA (497 nucleotides) under uncultured bacterium. RNAcentral's name for it is "partial 16S ribosomal RNA". It matches the Rfam family "Bacterial small subunit ribosomal RNA", at positions 28 to 507 of the family's 1533-position model. The record is from RNAcentral.